AUUGAACGCUGGCGGCAGGCCUAACACAUGCAAGUCGAACGGUAACAGGAAGACGCUUGCUUCUUUGCUGACGAGUGGCGGACGGGUGAGUAAUGUCUGGGAAACUGCCUGAUGGAGGGGGAUAACUACUGGAAACGGUAGCUAAUACCGCAUAACGUCGCAAGACCAAAGAGGGGGACCUUCGGGCCUCUUGCCAUCGGAUGUGCCCAGAUGGGAUUAGCUAGUAGGUGGGGUAACGGCUCACCUAGGCGACGAUCCCUAGCUGGUCUGAGAGGAUGACCAGCCACACUGGAACUGAGACACGGUCCAGACUCCUACGGGAGGCAGCAGUGGGGAAUAUUGGAAAAUGGGCGCAAGCCUGAUGCAGCCAUGCCGCGUGUAUGAAGAAGGCCUUCGGGUUGUAAAGUACUUUCAGCGGGGAGGAAGGGAGUAAAGUUAAUACCUUUGCUCAUUGACGUUACCCGCAGAAGAAGCACCGGCUAACUCCGUG
This 490-nucleotide ribosomal RNA is filed under the name uncultured bacterium. RNAcentral describes it as "partial 16S ribosomal RNA". It matches the Rfam family "Bacterial small subunit ribosomal RNA", at positions 30 to 507 of the family's 1533-position model. The record is from RNAcentral.